CUAACUACCUAGCCAGGGCAACUUCUGGUUCACAAAGGUCAUGAUGACUGUUUCCAAGAUGAUGGGUGUCCAUUGCAUUCAGGGUGCAAUGUACUGUGAGCUUUUCCCAAAUGCGGGAAACUCAAGGGUAUCAUUGGUGACACUGGUAUCAAAGGUAUCAUUGGUAUCAA
RNAcentral lists this small nuclear RNA (170 nucleotides) under Sorex araneus (European shrew). Its description in RNAcentral is "U1 spliceosomal RNA (ENSSARG00000019317.1)". Lineage: Eukaryota; Metazoa; Chordata; Mammalia; Eulipotyphla; Soricidae. The record is from RNAcentral.